RNAcentral lists this unclassified non-coding RNA (309 nucleotides) under Bombus terrestris (buff-tailed bumblebee). RNAcentral describes it as "misc RNA ENSBTSG00005038439.1". Lineage: Eukaryota; Metazoa; Arthropoda; Insecta; Hymenoptera; Apidae. The record is from RNAcentral.
CAGAAUUCAGUAUUUAUGCAAUUGCCAGUACAAAAACGCUCGUCGCUUUGAUCUACAUCGUAUCGGGUCCACUCUUUUACGUUCGAUGUUGAAUUCAUUAACGGUAGGUACAUUGCUUAUAUUUUUGACCAAUCGAAAACGAGAAUAUAGCGCAACAUUGCAUAUAUCAGUCAAUUCAUCGAAUAUUACUUCACGCUAGCGUAACAACAGAAUGCUUCAAUAUCAUCUAAAUUGGCGAGAUUUUAUGAUAAUAAAAAAAUAAUUACCAAACAAAAAAUUCUCUCUGCGACAACCUACUAGACCAAAGUA